GGAUUGACGUGACGGUCGUGCCUUAAGGGGCGUGAACUGUCGCCGUUGAUUUCUCACCUUCUGGAGAAGCUCGAUGUCCUUAAUUGGAUGUCUUGUGGAACCAGGACCUUUACCUUGAAAAAAUUAGAGUGUUUAAAGCAGGCAUUUUGCUCGAAUACAUUAGCAUGGAAUAAUAGAAUAGGACGGCAUGGUUCUAUUUUGUUGGUUUCUAGGAUCACCGUA
RNAcentral lists this ribosomal RNA (222 nucleotides) under uncultured Glomeromycotina. RNAcentral describes it as "partial 18S ribosomal RNA". The stretch from base 35 to 222 matches the Rfam family "Eukaryotic small subunit ribosomal RNA", at positions 677 to 864 of the family's 1831-position model. The record is from RNAcentral. Lineage: Eukaryota; Fungi; Glomeromycota.